RNAcentral lists this ribosomal RNA (468 nucleotides) under uncultured bacterium. RNAcentral's name for it is "partial 16S ribosomal RNA". It matches the Rfam family "Bacterial small subunit ribosomal RNA", at positions 28 to 507 of the family's 1533-position model. The record is from RNAcentral.
GACGAACGCUGGCGGCGUGCUUAACACAUGCAAGUCGAACGGAAAGGCCCUGCUUUUGUGGGGUGCUCGAGUGGCGAACGGGUGAGUAACACGUGAGUAACCUGCCCUUGACUUUGGGAUAACUUCAGGAAACUGGGGCUAAUACCGGAUAGGAGCUCCUGCUGCAUGGUGGGGGUUGGAAAGUUUCGGCGGUUGGGGAUGGACUCGCGGCUUAUCAGCUUGUUGGUGGGGUGGGGGCUUACCAAGGCUUUGACGGGUAGCCGGCCUGAGAGGGUGACCGGCCACAUUGGGACUGAGAUACGGCCCAGACUCCUACGGGAGGCAGCAGUGGGGAAUAUUGCACAAUGGGCGGAAGCCUGAUGCAGCAACGCCGCGUGCGGGAUGACGGCCUUCGGGUUGUAAACCGCUUUCGCCUGUGACGAAGCGUGAGUGACGGUAAUGGGUAAAGAAGCACCGGCUAACUACGUG